UGUAGGAGCGAGCCUGCUCGCGAUGGCGAUAAGUCAGUCGACAUCAAUGUAGCUGACAGGCCGCCAUCGCGAGCAGGCUCGCUCCCACA
This 89-nucleotide unclassified non-coding RNA is filed under the name Pseudomonas jessenii. The record is from RNAcentral. Lineage: Bacteria; Pseudomonadati; Pseudomonadota; Gammaproteobacteria; Pseudomonadales; Pseudomonadaceae.